GGUACCAGAGGAAUCAGCAUCGGCUAACUCCGUGCCAGCAGCCGCGGUAAGACGGAGGAUGCAAGCGUUAUCCGGAAUGAUUGGGCGUAAAGCGUCCGCAGGUGGCAGUUCAAGUCUGCUGUCAAAGACCGGGGCUUAACUUCGGAAAGGCAGUGGAAACUGAACAGCUAGAGUAUGGUAGGGGCAGAGGGAAUUCCUGGUGUAGCGGUGAAAUGCGUAGAGAUCAGGAAGAACAUCGGUGGCGAAGGCGCUCUGCUGGACCAUAACUGACACUCAGGGACGAAAGCUAGGGGAGCGAACGGGAUUAGAUACCCCAGUAGUCCUAGCCGUAAACGAUGGAUACUAGGUGUUGUCUGUAUCGACCCGGACAGUGCCGUAGCUAACGCGUUAAGUAUCCCGCUGGGGAUACGCACGCAAGUGUGAAACUCAAAGGAUUGACGGCGGCACACGAGUGGAGUAUGUGUUAGUUACGUAGUGCGAACGACGACGAACGUUAACCUACGGACGUCGUCGAACUGUCGUCGAACUACUACGUAGGUAACGAAACCG
This 549-nucleotide ribosomal RNA is filed under the name uncultured Microcoleus sp. Its description in RNAcentral is "bacterial SSU rRNA". It matches the Rfam family "Bacterial small subunit ribosomal RNA", at positions 474 to 1026 of the family's 1533-position model. The record is from RNAcentral. Lineage: Bacteria; Bacillati; Cyanobacteriota; Cyanophyceae; Oscillatoriales; Microcoleaceae.